CACGUAGGGGGCAAGCGUUGGUCCGGAUUUAUUGGGCGUAAAGAGCUCGUAGGCGGUUUCGUAAGUCGGAUGUGAAAACUCCAGCUCAACUUGGAGACGCCAUUCGAUACUGCGAUGACUUGAGUCCGGUAGGGGAGUGUGGGAAUUCCUGGUGUAGCGGUGAAAUGCGCAGAUAUCAGGAGGAACACCCGUGGCGAAAGCGGCUCUCUGGGACGGUACUGACGCUGAGACGCGAAAGCGUGGGGAGCAAACAGG
This 255-nucleotide ribosomal RNA is filed under the name uncultured bacterium. Its description in RNAcentral is "partial 16S ribosomal RNA". It matches the Rfam family "Bacterial small subunit ribosomal RNA", at positions 524 to 776 of the family's 1533-position model. The record is from RNAcentral.